GAUUUUCAAUUUUCAAGAAGUUGUUCGUCAAUCCGGUAAACUCGUUUCAACUCUUACGUGAUUAGAAUAUUUUUGUGUGUUGUUAUUUUGCUUAAUUCUAAUUAAUAUGGCAUUUUCAUUGAAAAAUAUGUUCGGAAAAGGAAAAAAUAAAACCGGUGAAAGUAGUCGCCAAAAUACUACCCCUCUCCUGGCUCCCCGACCUAGAAAAGAUAAACAAGUUGAAACUAGUAGCCACCUAGAAAUACUAAUGAAAACUUCGGAAUACUUGAUAGUAAUCACCCGUGUUUUCAAUUUAGN
Molecule: long non-coding RNA, 297 nt
Filed under: Nicotiana benthamiana
Lineage: Eukaryota; Viridiplantae; Streptophyta; Magnoliopsida; Solanales; Solanaceae
Description: long non-coding RNA (NBEN_LNC031144)
Source: RNAcentral